AUGAACACUAGUACUGUCCAAAUCCAAAAGACUACUACUACUAUCCAAAUCGAAGAUACUACUGCUAUCCAAAUCCAAGAGACAGUGAGGAAUACGAGGGAGCGGCUGGAGGCCGAUUUCUCCAAGCUUGGAACCAAGAUCCAUAGGUUCCCACGAGGCCUACGGGGGGUCAACGAACGCUACAUCAUCCCGAGCUUCGUGUCCCUCGGCCCAUACCACCAUGGCUCACCGCACCUGCAAGAGACGGAGGAGUUGAAGCACGCGGCCGCCCACUACUUGUGCGAGAAGUCGGGUCGCUCCGUUGAGGAAGUCCAUGGCAAGAUCCUCUCCAUUGUCAGUCAAGCCCGCAGCUGCUACGCCGAUGAUGCAGUGGCGAAGUUCACGGACGCUGAAUUUGCGGUAAUGAUGUUCCUCGAUGGUUGCUAUCUGUUGCACUAUAUAAAAAUAGAUCAACAAUGUGCUUUAUUGUCCAAUCGGAUGUUCUUGUCCAUGGGGCCUUGCAUGCUAAGGGAUAUCUUUCUGCUCGAGAAUCAGCUCCCUUGGUUGGUCCUCGAGGCUCUUAUGGAAUUUUGCACACCAUUUCAUAUGUACAAUUUUUUUGUUGAUAUGGCGGUAUUCUUCGAUAUCGCCCCACGAUAUUCAUCAACUUCAGAUUCAAACACAAGGGUUUCUAUGGAUGAAUUCAAGAGGCACAGGCCGCCACAUCUCCUUGGGUUGCUCCGACACUACCAGAUUGGCAAUAUGCCUAACGAAGAUUGUAGAGACAAUCUCACAUGCUACUCAUCAGGUAGCAGUGCCAUUGAGCUUGCGGAAAUCGGCAUCAAACUGACCACCAGCAACAAGACAUGGUUCGCAGACAUGAGCAUCCAGAGAGACCGUUGCAUCUUCGGCCAGCUCUCCCUGGCGCCCUUGUUUGUAAAUGACUGCAUUGCUUGUUGGCUCGUCAACAUGGCAGCUUACGAGGCGUGUGUGUCCGUCACACAUCCAUCAGAUGGCUUCGUCAUCAGCUCAUACAUCUCCCUCCUGGCGAUGCUCAUGGACAAGGAAGAGGACGUGCACGAGCUGCGGGCGAAGCACCUCGUUAACAGCUUCUUCAGCAACCAUGAGCUGCUCAUUUUCUUCAAGGGCCUCGCUCGCCACCUGCGCCUCGGUCACCACUACUUUGUCAUCACGGACAAGAUUGACAAGUACAAGCGUGAAAGACCUGUGAGUAUCACCGUGCAUAGGUUCGUCUACAACAACUUCAGGACCAUCGUUGCCGUGCUUUCUGUUGUUAGUGUGCUUGUGGGUAUCUUCAGAACCUUGAUGAGUCUCAAGCAGCAUCAGCCGUAG
RNAcentral lists this ribosomal RNA (1332 nucleotides) under Triticum aestivum (bread wheat). RNAcentral's name for it is "partial small subunit ribosomal RNA". Lineage: Eukaryota; Viridiplantae; Streptophyta; Magnoliopsida; Poales; Poaceae. The record is from RNAcentral.